Molecule: ribosomal RNA, 388 nt
Filed under: uncultured bacterium
Lineage: Bacteria
Description: bacterial SSU rRNA
Rfam family: Bacterial small subunit ribosomal RNA
Source: RNAcentral
GACGAACGCUGGCGGCGUGCUUAACACAUGCAAGUCGAGCGGUAAGGCCCUUUCGGGGGUACACGAGCGGCGAACGGGUGAGUAACACGUGGGUGACCGGCCCUCAGCUCUGGGAUAAGCCUGGGAAACUGGGUCUAAUACUGGAUAUGACUCCACGGUGCAUGUCGUGGGGUGGAAAGCCUUGUGCGGCUGAGGAUGGGCCCGCGGCCUAUCAGCUUGUUGGUGGGGUGAUGGCCUACCAAGGCGACGACGGGUAGCCGGCCUGAGAGGGCGACCGGCCACACUGGGACUGAGACACGGCCCAGACUCCUACGGGAGGCAGCAGUGGGGAAUCUUGCGCAAUGGGCGAAAGCCUGACGCAGCGACGCCGCGUGAGGGAUGACGGCCU